CCUACGGGUGGCUGCAGUGGGGAAUUUUGCGCAAUGGGGGCAACCCUGACGCAGCAACGCCGCGUGAGUGAUGAAGGCCUUCGGGUCGUAAAGCUCUGUCAGAGGGGAAGAAAUGCAGGUGGUGAACAACCAUUCUGUUUGACGGUACCCUCAAAGGAAGCACCGGCUAACUCCGCGCCAGCAGCCGCGGUAAUACGGAGGGUGCGAGCGUUGUUCGGAAUUAUUGGGCGUAAAGCGCGUGUAGGCGGUUUGUUAAGUCUGAGGUAAAAGCCCCGGGCUCAACCGGGAAAGUGCGUUGGAUACUGGCAGACUUGAGUACGGGAGAGGAGAGUGGAAUUCCCAGUGUAGGGGUGAAAUCCGUAGAUAUUGGGAGGAACACCGGUGGCGAAGGCGGCUCUCUGGACCGAUACUGACGCUGAGACGCGAAAGCGUGGGGAGCAAACAGGAUUAGAUCCCUUGUUAGU
Molecule: ribosomal RNA, 464 nt
Filed under: uncultured Geobacteraceae bacterium
Lineage: Bacteria; Pseudomonadati; Thermodesulfobacteriota; Desulfuromonadia; Geobacterales; Geobacteraceae
Description: partial 16S ribosomal RNA
Rfam family: Bacterial small subunit ribosomal RNA
Source: RNAcentral